AGCGAACGCUGGCGGCAGGCCUAACACAUGCAAGUCGAACGGACCUUUCCGGGUUAGUGGCGGUCGUGUGGUUGACGCGUGGGAACUUGCCUUUAGGUUCCGUAUAACUCAGUGAAACUUGUCCUAAUACCGAUUGUGCCCUUCCGGGGUAGGAUUUAUUGCCUUUUGAGCGGCCCGGGUCUGAUUCGCUAGUUGGUUGAGGUAUUGGCUCACCAAGGCGUCGGUCCGUAGCUGGUCUGAGAGGAUGAUCAGCCACAUUGGGACUGAGACACGGCCCAAACUCGGAGGGGGGGGAGCAGUGGGGAGUAUUGCGCAAGGGGCGAAAGUCUGACGCAGCCACGCGGCGUGAAUGAGGAAUGGCGUAGGAUUGUAAAAUUCUUUCUCAGGGGACGAUAAUGACGGUAACGGGAGAAGAAGCCCCGGCUAACUACGUG
Molecule: ribosomal RNA, 434 nt
Filed under: uncultured bacterium
Lineage: Bacteria
Description: partial 16S ribosomal RNA
Rfam family: Bacterial small subunit ribosomal RNA
Source: RNAcentral